UUCUCUCUCUCUCUCUUCUUCUUCCGCCGUGCGCCGCAACCCCACAGUUUCCUUCUCCUCUUCUCUUCCGUUCGCAGCAGCCGCAACCCCACAGCUUCCUUCUUCUCUUCUCCUCUCCGUUCCGUCCAGAUCUGCACCGCAAGACCUUCAGCCGCUGCAACCGUCGGCCAGUUCGCGAGGCAGCCGUACGCGUCACCUUGCGGCCGCCGUCCAGAUCUGCACCGCAAGACCUUCCGCCGCUGCAGCCGUUGCUCUUCCGCCGCUGCCCGGUUCAGAUUUGCGUCGCCGUGCACAGCCUCACCGCCACCCUCUCUUUCUCCUUCGGAUCGAAACCGCCGCGCCCGUCCACCUGUAACUGCCGUUGCUCUUCCGCCGCUGC
This 379-nucleotide long non-coding RNA is filed under the name Cucumis sativus (cucumber). Its description in RNAcentral is "long non-coding RNA (CSAT_LNC001500)". Lineage: Eukaryota; Viridiplantae; Streptophyta; Magnoliopsida; Cucurbitales; Cucurbitaceae. The record is from RNAcentral.